CAAAAAACCAGCCGCCGCCGCUCCGGCCGUAACCCCCAAAGUUUUACCCCGCCGAUGACGUGGCAAAACCACUUGUCAACAAGCACAAGCCAAAACCUUCAAAACUAAGAGCAAGAAUUACACCUGGAACCGUUUUGAUUAUCCUAUCUGGUAAGUUUAAGGGGAAAAGAGUUGUGUUCUUGAAACAGCUUGCGCACAUUUCCAUCCCACAGCAAAAAACCUGCCGCCGCCGCUCCGGUAAUAAAACCCCCAAAGUUUUAUCCCGCCGAUGACGUAGCAAAACCGCUUGUGAACAAACACAAGCCAAAACCUACAAAACUCAGAGCAAGCAUUACACCUGGAACCGUUUUGAUUAUCCUAGCUGGUAAGUUUAAGGGGAAAAGAGUUGUGUUCUUGAAACAGCUUGCGUCUGGGCUUCUGCUUGUUACUGGACCGUUUAAGCU
Molecule: long non-coding RNA, 443 nt
Filed under: Nicotiana benthamiana
Lineage: Eukaryota; Viridiplantae; Streptophyta; Magnoliopsida; Solanales; Solanaceae
Description: long non-coding RNA (NBEN_LNC020981)
Source: RNAcentral